GGGGGUGGAGGGACUGCUUCUUUGAAGGAGGCCCACCCGGACGGAAGCCGUGGAGCUGGGAAGCCCUGAUGCUAAGCCUGUAUCAUCUCCUCUCUGGACCUUGGCAAUCACUUCUUCACCGGUCUCCCAGUUUACAGUCAAGCCUCUACCGGUUUCCCAGCCAAGAGCAAGAGUGGUCUAAUAAAAAUGCCAGUCUGACCAUGUCACCCUUCCCACCCCAUUUCACAGCCUUCAGCGGCCUCCCCAUGGCCCUUGGAAUAAAAUCCAAACUCCUGACCCAGCCUUACAAGGACUUGCACAGUCUGGCUCACCUCAUGCCAAGCCCCACCUCCUCAACGGACCUUUCUUAAUUCAACAAAUAUUGAGUGCCUAUUGUACCAGGCCUGAGGAUUUUGUGGUUCACCUGAAACGCCUCCUCCUCUGUGAAGCCUUCCACAAGCAGAGCCCACUGACCACCAUAUCACCAGUAUACCUGUGGGGUUUCCCUACCCUGAGCACAUCUGCUUCCCUCAUUGGACCGGGAGCUCUCAGAAGGUAGUGACUCUGAUUCACUUCUCUGCCCUCCGUGUAGACAGCACUGAUGGCACGCACCAGCAUGUUGUGCUGGACAGCCGUCUGCACCCACCUCCCAGGGGCUCUCUUCUACUGCCACAGCCCCCCUCAAGCACGGGGGCCGCUCUGCUCCCCAGAUCCACCCUGGUUCAUAUGUGUCUAGAACUCCCCUCUCCCUGGCCCUCUGUUCCAUAUUUACCUCCUGAAAUUCUAAUUAAUCACACCUCCUCCUCAGGCCUCCAAAGGAAUUAAAAAACAAUAACAACAAAAAA
Molecule: long non-coding RNA, 824 nt
Organism: Zalophus californianus (California sea lion)
Lineage: Eukaryota; Metazoa; Chordata; Mammalia; Carnivora; Otariidae
Exons: 3
Source: RefSeq, a predicted model, not a curated record